UUUAAGGCUUUUUUCAAAGCCACUUGCCACCCUUUAAAGUUCACU
Non-coding RNA from Gossypium arboreum, 45 nucleotides. NCBI's taxonomy places the organism in Eukaryota, Viridiplantae, Streptophyta, Magnoliopsida, Malvales, Malvaceae. The record is from Rfam.